CCUACGGGAGGCAGCAGUAGGGAAUCUUCCACAAUGGGCGAAAGUCUGAUGGAGCAACGCCGCGUGAGUGAAGAAGGGUUUCGGCUCGUAAAGCUCUGUUGGUAGUGAAGAAAAAUAGAGGAAGUAACUGGCCUUUAUUUGACGGUAAUUACUUACAAAGUCACGGCUAACUACGUGCCAGCGGCCGCGGUAAUACGUAGGUGGCAAGCGUUGUCCGGAUUUAUUGGGCGUAAAGCGAGCGCAGGCGGUUAAAUAAGUCUGAUGUGAAAGUCUUCGGCUCAACCAGAGAAUUGCAUUAGAAACUGUUUAACUUGAGUGCAGAAGAGGUGAGUGGAAUUCCAUGUGUAGCGGUGGAAUGCGUAGAUAUAUGGAAGAACACCAGUGGCGAAGGCGGCUUUCUGGUCUGCAACUGACGCUGAGGCUCGAAAGCAUGGGUAGCGAACAGGAUUAGAUACCCUUGUAGUC
RNAcentral lists this ribosomal RNA (465 nucleotides) under uncultured bacterium. RNAcentral's name for it is "partial 16S ribosomal RNA". It matches the Rfam family "Bacterial small subunit ribosomal RNA", at positions 338 to 795 of the family's 1533-position model. The record is from RNAcentral.